Molecule: ribosomal RNA, 400 nt
Filed under: uncultured bacterium
Lineage: Bacteria
Description: bacterial SSU rRNA
Rfam family: Bacterial small subunit ribosomal RNA
Source: RNAcentral
AGUGAACGCUGGCGGCAGGCCUAACACAUGCAAGUCGAGCGGCAGCGCGUCCGACCACCCUCGGGUGGUCGGAUGGCGGCGAGCGGCGGACGGGUGAGGAAUGCAUCGGAAUCUGCCUCGUUGUGGGGGAUAACGUAGGGAAACUUACGCUAAUACCGCAUACGACCUACGGGUGAAAGUGGGGGACCUUCGGGCCUCACGCGAUGAGAUGAGCCGAUGCCGGAUUAGCUAGUUGGCGGGGUAAAGGCCCACCAAGGCGACGAUCCGUAGCUGGUCUGAGAGGAUGAUCAGCCACACUGGGACUGAGACACGGCCCAGACUCCUACGGGAGGCAGCAGUGGGGAAUUUUGGACAAUGGGCGCAAGCCUGAUCCAGCCAUGCCGCGUGAGUGAAGAAGGCC